CAAUAGCGUAUACUAAUGUUGUUGCAGUUAAAAAGCUCGUAGUUGAACUUCUGGUAGGAGUGUCCCGGCCUUUUUGUUUUCACAAAUUGUAUGCUGUGUGACAUCUCUGGCCAUCCUUCUUCUUUGUUUAAAGAAGAUCUUUCACUGUAAAAAAAUUAGGGUGUUCAAAGCAAAAGUUUCUUUGGAAUAUAUUAGUAUGGGAUGAUAAGAUAGGCUCUAGAUGCUAUUUUGUUGGUUUGCACAUUUAGAGAAUGAUUAACAGGGACAGUUGGGGGUAUUCGUAUUUACAUGUCAGAGGUGAAAUUCUUGGAUUUUGGAAAGACGAACUACUGCGAAAGCAUUUACCAAGGAUGUUUUCAUUAA
RNAcentral lists this ribosomal RNA (363 nucleotides) under uncultured eukaryote. RNAcentral's name for it is "partial 18S ribosomal RNA". It matches the Rfam family "Eukaryotic small subunit ribosomal RNA", at positions 592 to 976 of the family's 1831-position model. The record is from RNAcentral.